CGAGCGUUAAUCGGAAUUACUGGGCGUAAAGCGCAUGCAGGUGGUUUGUUAAGUCAGAUGUGAAAGCCCGGGGCUCAACCUCGGAAUUGCAUUUGAAACUGGCAGACUAGAGUACUGUAGAGGGGGGGUAGAAUUUCAGGUGUAGCGGUGAAAUGCGUAGAGAUCUGAAGGAAUACCGGUGGCGAAGGCGGCCCCCUGGACAGAUACUGACACUCAGAUGCGAAAGCGUGGGGAGCAAACAGGAUUAGA
RNAcentral lists this ribosomal RNA (249 nucleotides) under Vibrio parahaemolyticus. RNAcentral describes it as "partial 16S ribosomal RNA". It matches the Rfam family "Bacterial small subunit ribosomal RNA", at positions 535 to 782 of the family's 1533-position model. Lineage: Bacteria; Pseudomonadati; Pseudomonadota; Gammaproteobacteria; Vibrionales; Vibrionaceae. The record is from RNAcentral.